UCCAGUGGUAAUAGAGGAGUGGAUCCACCCGGUCCCAUGCCGAACCCGGCAGUUAAGCACUCCAUCGUCGAUGGUACUACGGAGGGUAUCCGUGGGAGAGUAGAUCGCUGCUGGAA
Cloacibacillus evryensis DSM 19522 is the source of this 116-nucleotide ribosomal RNA. Lineage: Bacteria; Thermotogati; Synergistota; Synergistia; Synergistales; Synergistaceae. The record is from Rfam.